RNAcentral lists this ribosomal RNA (522 nucleotides) under Salmonella enterica. RNAcentral's name for it is "partial 16S ribosomal RNA". It matches the Rfam family "Bacterial small subunit ribosomal RNA", at positions 993 to 1515 of the family's 1533-position model. Lineage: Bacteria; Pseudomonadati; Pseudomonadota; Gammaproteobacteria; Enterobacterales; Enterobacteriaceae. RNAcentral also lists the same sequence under 1 other name. The record is from RNAcentral.
GAAGUUUUCAGAGAUGAGAAUGUGCCUUCGGGAACCGUGAGACAGGUGCUGCAUGGCUGUCGUCAGCUCGUGUUGUGAAAUGUUGGGUUAAGUCCCGCAACGAGCGCAACCCUUAUCCUUUGUUGCCAGCGAUUCGGUCGGGAACUCAAAGGAGACUGCCAGUGAUAAACUGGAGGAAGGUGGGGAUGACGUCAAGUCAUCAUGGCCCUUACGACCAGGGCUACACACGUGCUACAAUGGCGCAUACAAAGAGAAGCGACCUCGCGAGAGCAAGCGGACCUCAUAAAGUGCGUCGUAGUCCGGAUUGGAGUCUGCAACUCGACUCCAUGAAGUCGGAAUCGCUAGUAAUCGUGGAUCAGAAUGCCACGGUGAAUACGUUCCCGGGCCUUGUACACACCGCCCGUCACACCAUGGGAGUGGGUUGCAAAAGAAGUAGGUAGCUUAACCUUCGGGAGGGCGCUUACCACUUUGUGAUUCAUGACUGGGGUGAAGUCGUAACAAGGUAACCGUAGGGGAACCUGC